UGCCAGCGGUUAGGCCGGGAACUCAAAGGAGACUGCCAGUGAUAAACUGGAGGAAGGUGGGGAUGACGUCAAGUCAUCAUGGCCCUUACGACCAGGGCUACACACGUGCUACAAUGGCGCAUACAAAGAGAAGCGACCUCGCGAGAGCAAGCGGACCUCAUAAAGUGCGUCGUAGUCCGGAUUGGAGUCUGCAACUCGACUCCAUGAAGUCGGAAUCGCUAGUAAUCGUGGAUCAGAAUGCCACGGUGAAUACGUUCCCGGGCCUUGUACACACCGCCCGUCACACCAUGGGAGUGGGUUGCAAAAGAAGUAGGUAGCUUAACCUUCGGGAGGGCGCUUACCACUUUGUGAUUCAUGACUGGGGUGAAGUCGUAACAAGGUAACCGUAGGGGAACCUGCGGUUGGAUCACCUCCUUACCUGAAAGAA
This 427-nucleotide ribosomal RNA is filed under the name Salmonella enterica subsp. salamae serovar Sofia. RNAcentral's name for it is "bacterial SSU rRNA". It matches the Rfam family "Bacterial small subunit ribosomal RNA", at positions 1116 to 1533 of the family's 1533-position model. The record is from RNAcentral. Lineage: Bacteria; Pseudomonadati; Pseudomonadota; Gammaproteobacteria; Enterobacterales; Enterobacteriaceae.